RNAcentral lists this ribosomal RNA (278 nucleotides) under Escherichia coli. RNAcentral describes it as "partial 23S ribosomal RNA". It matches the Rfam family "Bacterial large subunit ribosomal RNA", at positions 1379 to 1661 of the family's 2925-position model. Lineage: Bacteria; Pseudomonadati; Pseudomonadota; Gammaproteobacteria; Enterobacterales; Enterobacteriaceae. The record is from RNAcentral.
GAGUCGACCCCUAAGGCGAGGCUGAAAAGCGUAGUCGAUGGGAAACGGGUUAAUAUUCCCGUACUGGUGGUAACUGCGAUGGGGGAACGGAGAAGGCUAGGUUGUCCGGGCGACGGUCGUCCCGGUUCAAGCAGGUAGGCAGAGUGAUUAGGCAAAUCCGGUCACUUAAUGCUGAGAUGUGAUGACGAACCACCAAGGUGGUGAAGCAAUUGAUGCCCCGCUUCCAGGAAAAGCCUCUAAGCUGCAGGUUACCAACAAUCGUACCCCAAACCGACACA